AAAUUGAAGAGUUUGAUCAUGGCUCAGAUUGAACGCUGGCGGCAGGCCUAACACAUGCAAGUCGAACGGUAACAGGAAGCAGCUUGCUGCUUUGCUGACGAGUGGCGGACGGGUGAGUAAUGUCUGGGAAACUGCCUGAUGGAGGGGGAUAACUACUGGAAACGGUAGCUAAUACCGCAUAAUGUCGCAGGACCAAAGAGGGGGACCUUCGGGCCUCUUGCCAUCAGAUG
RNAcentral lists this ribosomal RNA (230 nucleotides) under Salmonella enterica. RNAcentral describes it as "partial 16S ribosomal RNA". It matches the Rfam family "Bacterial small subunit ribosomal RNA", at positions 1 to 227 of the family's 1533-position model. The record is from RNAcentral. Lineage: Bacteria; Pseudomonadati; Pseudomonadota; Gammaproteobacteria; Enterobacterales; Enterobacteriaceae.